GGCGUGCUUAACACAUGCAAGUCGAGCGGUAAGGCCCUUCGGGGUACACGAGCGGCGAACGGGUGAGUAACACGUGGGUGAUCUGCCCUGCACUUCGGGAUAAGCCUGGGAAACUGGGUCUAAUACCGGAUAUGACCUUCGGCUGCAUGGCUGUUGGUGGAAAGGUUUACUGGUGCAGGAUGGGCCCGCGGCCUAUCAGCUUGUUGGUGGGGUAAUGGCCUACCAAGGCGACGACGGGUAGCCGACCUGAGAGGGUGACCGGCCACACUGGGACUGAGACACGGCCCAGACUCCUACGGGAGGCAGCAGUGGGGAAUAUUGCACAAUGGGCGAAAGCCUGAUGCAGCGACGCCGCGUGAGGGAUGACGGCCUUCGGGUUGUAAACCUCUUUCAGCAGGGACGAAGCGAGAGUGACGGUACCUGCAGAAGAAGCACCGGCCAACUACGUGCCAGCAGCCGCGGUAAUACGUAGGGUGCAAGCGUUGUCCGGAAUUACUGGG
This 500-nucleotide ribosomal RNA is filed under the name Rhodococcus sp. SDB4. RNAcentral's name for it is "bacterial SSU rRNA". It matches the Rfam family "Bacterial small subunit ribosomal RNA", at positions 41 to 558 of the family's 1533-position model. The record is from RNAcentral. Lineage: Bacteria; Bacillati; Actinomycetota; Actinomycetes; Mycobacteriales; Nocardiaceae.